CUUAAAGAGUGCUAAAUAGUAAUGCUCUCCUUCAACUCAUUUUCAGCUCAUAUAAGUUUUUUUUCCUCAAGUUCUGUUUAUUGUAGCCUGAGGCUAAAAAUAUUUUCUAAAAGAUCUAAAGGAAAUGUUUUCUUCCAACAUAAUAUUCUGUGCAGUGCAGAAAGUCUUUUCUUUUUCAUUUUGGCCUAACAGAUUUUAUGGUUUAUCAAAACAAUUCCUAUGCCAUUAAGUUUUGGCUCACUUAGGAGAAAAGCUGAGAUGAUUUUUUUUAAUUAAGGUUAUUACCUCCGUGUAUCUUUCUGUAUGUUCUUUUAAAGUACUUGUGACAUUGAGUUACAGGGCUUUGACUCCCGGGCCUAAAAAUGACAUCAAGUCCUGCUAAAUAUUAAACACUGACAGCAACUAAAGCCUCUUCUUCAGGCCCAGUAGAAGAUGCCAAUCAAAAUAAACUGCAUUCCUGAAACAUAGGGCCAGAAAUUAAAGUUAUUCAACUCCUCAAGGCCCAGGGACUAUUGCAAAAGAGGUGGGCAUGUGAGAUUGUAAGGGCCGAUUUAGUUUCUCUAUAAAUUAAUCAUUAACACCAAAAGCACACUGAAGCAACAUCAGCAUAUGGGCCCCUGUGUCAGAUUAACAAAGUUUUCUUGAAGCAGUAACCAACUUCUUAAUAAAGGAUACAAAGUUUAUAAAAGGCUUAUGGAAGUUAUAUUGUAACUGCCCAAUGGGUUCACCUUGCCCACUGCCUAGACAGAGCCAAUUUAUCAAGAUGGGAAUUGCAAUAGAGAAACAGUAAUUCAUGCAGAGCCAGCUGUGUGGGAGACUGAAGUUUUAUGAUUACUUAAGUCAGUCUCUCCAAGUAUUUGUGGAGCAGAAUUUUUAAGGAUAAUUUGGUGAAUAUGGGGGAGGCCAAUAAAUUAAAAGUGCUGAGGGGUUGGGUUGGAAAUGAAAUCAUGGAAAGUUGACGCUGUCCUCUUGCACUGAGUCAGUUCCUGGGUGGGGGCCCCACGAUCAGAUUCACCAGUUUAUCAAUCUGUGUGGUGCCAACUGAUCCAUCAAGUUCAGGUCUGUAAAAUAUCUCAAGCACUGAUCUUAGGAGGAGUUUAGGGAGGGUCAGAACUUCCAGCCUCCAGCUGCAUGGCUCCUAAACCAUAAUUUCUAAUCUUGUGGCUAAUUUGUUAGUCCCAUAAAGGCAGUCUAUUCCCCAGGCAAAAAGGAGGUUCAUUUUGGGAAAGGACUGCUAUCAUCUUUCUUUUAAACUAUAAACUAUGAACUAAGUUCUUCCCAAAGUUAGCUCAGCCUAUGCUCAGGAAGGAACAAGGACAGCUUAAAGGUUAGAAGCAAGAUGGAGUCAGUUAGGAUAGAUCUCUUUCACUGUGUCAGUCAUAAUUUUGCAAAGGUAGUUUCAAUAUCUUAUGGUCAAGAUUAAAAUUUUAUAGAUUGUUUAUAAAAUUUUGAAAAACAAAUUUAAUUGGCUUUAUGCUGUCUUUAUUGGGGCUUAUUGUAUAGAAAAUUAAGUCUCCUCUCAAAGAAUGAAGAUUUUUGCCUUUUUUUUUUUAAAUCCUCGAGUUAUGACUUUGGUCAAAUGAAUAACUUAUUUUAUAAUGACCUGUGAUAUCAAGUGUUUUAAACCUUUGAUAUUUGAUAACCUUUCAAAAAUCAAAUUAGAAAUUGUGUCUUUUUCUGAUCUAGUUAAUCAUUUAAGAUAUUAGUUUCCCUAAAUUCAAAACAUGACAUAAUUUGGCUUAUUUGGUAUAAAAUUAUACAGUAAGCACUGUCAAAUAUGAAAUGGUGUUUGGUUUUCUUUGGGUUGUAUUUGUAUAAAUGUAUUAUUGAUAUGUGUUCCAAAAUCAUGGGAAACACCUAUAAUCCUGUAAUCCUGAUAUGACUUAGUGUACAUCAUCAGUAAUAAUUAUAACUAUUAUGUUAAAUUAUUAUGUGCCACAGAGGUAACAAAUUUUCUGGUCAGUUUUGUCUUUGACUAUGCCUGCCCUAAAACAUUUUGUCAUCCAUGGACAAUUGGUGCCUUGUUUGGUCCUCCUUAGAAGGUGGUUUCAUAAUCAGUUAUAAAACUCUAAUAGGUGCUUUUGAAUGCAGAUUUCUGAUAACUUUGAGAGGGAAAACUUUCAGGACUCAUGGGGAGCUGAAAUGUUCAUGAAUAUUAAGCAGAACAGGAAUUUACUACAGAGACUGAACUAACAGAAAACUGAAGUAUCUUUUUAUAUUUUUGCUUAAAAUGUUGCUGACCCUCUGUUUUUUUUUUUUUUCAGAGUCAAGGAAACUUUUAUUUUGAGCUAUUGUAAGGUUUCAACAAUUUAGUAUACUCCUAUGAAGAAAAUUUGGAGCGUAUUUGUUUCUCUUUACCUGAUUUCUCCAGAAUUUGGAAACUAUUUGCGAGUAGUCUUAACUUACAGCAAUAUGGCUAUUUGCAUAAGUGCAAAUAAAAAUCUGUUAUAAUUUGUAACAGGACACAAUGGGAGAAACUGGUUAUUUUACCAAGGCUUUCACUGGAAUGAUGUGCUUUCCUUUAAGAAAUCAAACUUAACUUAUGGAGCCAAUAAAAACCCAUUGGGAAAACUGGCCUCAUACCUUGUUUACACAGCCCAUGUACAGGGUUCGUGACCUGGGCUAGGUGACUUUAACUCCAAUGUCUACCCUCAUAAAUUGAACAUUAUUGAAGGCCCACUUUCCAGUGUCAUGAGAAGGGAAGCACGAUCAUGAAAUGAGCAAAGAAGGCCAGAUAAUCUUUAGAGGUCCUACAAUCCAUAUUCCCAUAAUUGGCAUCUUUUUUGAAGAAAGUCAAUGAAAGAAAAGAAAAGUACAUAUUAAUUAUUUA
This 2830-nucleotide long non-coding RNA is filed under the name Homo sapiens (human). RNAcentral describes it as "HSALNT0285993". The record is from RNAcentral. Lineage: Eukaryota; Metazoa; Chordata; Mammalia; Primates; Hominidae.